CCUAUCGCAUGUAGGCAGAGACCUGACCAACCUACAACCUACUGGACUUGCUAAGCUCCUGAAGGAGGAAGCUGCUACCACUAAAGCCUACCUCCCAACUGAGAGAGCCUCACGUGCACAGAGGUUCUAGGGCAGCCUAAUGGAUUCUUUCCCAUCUACCUGCCUCCUGGAACUCCAAGGUGAUCGGGCCCAAGCAGGAAAAUGUGUGGCCCACUUGUGCCAAGUCUGAGCUCCGCGGCAGGCUCUCACGAUGUUAGAGUUCCUUGGAGACGACCGUCCCAUUUUAAUACACAAACCUCUCACGGGCGCACGGUGAAAUGAGUUAAUGUUGUAGUGCAGUGGAAUGCUAGUCACGAAGACUGUGAGCUGUGGCCACUGGUUGCUGAACGUGGCCAUUGAAAGUGCCCCUGGAUUCUAUUUUUAUUUCACUCUUGCCAAGUUCAUGGAGCAAAUUCCUCUUUCUCUCUCAAUCUGGCUUUUCUCCCUGCCCCAGAGGAACGGUGUUUCGGCUGUAAUGUCUUCUAAUGCACUAUAAAUGCGGUG
Molecule: long non-coding RNA, 543 nt
Organism: Mus caroli (Ryukyu mouse)
Lineage: Eukaryota; Metazoa; Chordata; Mammalia; Rodentia; Muridae
Source: RefSeq, a predicted model, not a curated record